CCCGCUGAACUUAAGCAUAUCAAUAAGCGGAGGAAAAGAAACUAACAAGGAUUCCCCUAGUAACUGCGAGUGAAGCGGGAAGAGCUCAAAUUUGAAAUCUGGCGGCUUCGCCGUCCGAGUUGUAUUCUGGAGAAGCGUUUUCCGUGCUGGACCGUGUACAAGUCCCUUGGAACAGGGCGUCGUAGAGGGUGAGAAUCCCGUCUUUGACACGGACUGCCAGUGCUCUGUGAUGCGCUCUCGAAGAGUCGAGUUGUUUGGGAAUGCAGCCUAAAAUGGGUGGUAAAUUUCAUCUAAAGCUAAAUAUUGGCGAGAGACCGAUAGCGAACAAGUACCGUGAGGGAAAGAUGAAAAGAACUUUGAAAAGAGAGUUAAAAAGUACGUGAAAUUGUUGAAAGGGAACCGUUUGAAGCCAGUCUUGCUUGCUUGUGAUCAAUCUUUGCUUCGGCUUGGAUGCACUCUCAGGUUAUGCAGGUCAACGUCAGUUUGAGAGGUGGGAAAAAAGCUUGAGGAAUGUGGCCUUCGGGUGUUAUAGCCUCUUGCUAAAUACCAUCUUUUGGACUGAGGCUCGCAGCAAAAAUGUGGGCAGGUUUGCGUUUGAGGUGAUACAUUAUUAAGACAGCUUGCUGACUUAGUUUUGUCUAUCUUCACUGUAAGCUUCGCUUCUAAUUUGCUUAGGUCGUUGACAUAAUGGCUUUAAAUGACCCGUCUUGAAACACGG
RNAcentral lists this ribosomal RNA (718 nucleotides) under uncultured fungus. RNAcentral's name for it is "eukaryotic LSU rRNA". It matches the Rfam family "Eukaryotic large subunit ribosomal RNA", at positions 24 to 664 of the family's 3401-position model. Lineage: Eukaryota; Fungi. The record is from RNAcentral.